Molecule: ribosomal RNA, 253 nt
Filed under: uncultured bacterium
Lineage: Bacteria
Description: partial 16S ribosomal RNA
Rfam family: Bacterial small subunit ribosomal RNA
Source: RNAcentral
UACGGGUGGGGCGAGCGUUGUUCGGAAUUACUGGGCGUAAAGGGUGCGUAGGCGGUGCUCUAAGUCGGAUGUGAAAACUCUGGGCUCAACCCAGAGCCUGCAUCCGAAACUGGAGUGCUAGAGUUCUGGAGGGGGUAGCGGAAUUCCUGGUGUAGCGGUGAAAUGCGUAGAUAUCAGGAGGAACACCGGUGGCGAAGGCGGCUACCUGGACAGAAACUGACGCUGAGGCACGAAAGCUAGGGGAGCAAACAGG